CACGUAGGGGACGAGCGUUGUCCGGAAUCAUUGGGCGUAAAGCGCGUGUAGGCGGCUUUGCAAGUCGGGUGUGAAAGCCCUCGGCUCAACCGAGGAAGUGCGCCCGAAACUGCUUAGCUUGAGUAUCGGAGAGGAUGGCGGAAUUCCCCAAGUAGAGGUGAAAUUCGUAGAUAUGGGGAGGAACACCGGUGGCGAAGGCGGCCAUCUGGACGAUCACUGACGCUGAGACGCGAAAGCGUGGGGAGCGAACAGG
RNAcentral lists this ribosomal RNA (253 nucleotides) under uncultured bacterium. Its description in RNAcentral is "partial 16S ribosomal RNA". It matches the Rfam family "Bacterial small subunit ribosomal RNA", at positions 524 to 776 of the family's 1533-position model. The record is from RNAcentral.